Molecule: ribosomal RNA, 499 nt
Filed under: uncultured bacterium
Lineage: Bacteria
Description: bacterial SSU rRNA
Rfam family: Bacterial small subunit ribosomal RNA
Source: RNAcentral
UGGGGAAUCUUGGACAAUGGGCGCAAGCCUGAUCCAGCCAUGCCGCGUGAGCGAUGAAGGCCUUAGGGUUGUAAAGCUCUUUCACCGGUGAAGAUAAUGACGGUAGCCGGAGAAGAAGCCCCGGCUAACUCCGUGCCAGCAGCCGCGGUAAUACGGAGGGGGCUAGCGUUGUUCGGAAUUACUGGGCGUAAAGCGCACGUAGGCGGACCAGAAAGUUGGGGGUGAAAUCCCGGGGGCUCAACCCCGGAACUGCCUCCAAAACUAUUGGUCUAGAGUUCGAGAGAGGUGAGUGGAAUUCCAAGUGUAGAGGUGAAAUUCGUAGAUAUUUGGAGGAACACCAGUGGCGAAGGCGGCUCACUGGCUCGAUACUGACGCUGAGGUGCGAAAGUGUGGGGAGCAAACAGGAUUAGAUACCCUGGUAGUCCACACCGUAAAACGAUGAAUGCCAGUCGUCGGGUAGCAUGCUAUUCGGUGACACACCUAACGGAUUAAGCAUUCC